AAAUAAAUUUAAAAAAACAUCUUUGUAGUGCGUGCAAUACAACUGCUGCUUUUAUUUUGAAAAGUGUUAUAUGUGCGUAUGUCCUGUGAGGGAAGGCGCACAGCGGUUAUCCCCGAGACGCUAAAAAGAGAAAAGUUGAUGACGAAUGGCGUGUUUUAAAAAAUACAUGGACUGCCAAGUAAAGCGUUUACAGGUGCAGCCACGCUGCUUGCCACGGGGGGAAUUCCGCCCUCAAUGAAGACUCCCAGGUUUGAUGGCAAGGCGAACUGGGAGGCAUUUCAUCCCACUUGUGACAUCAAUUGUAGCGUCCAGAAGAAGUGCACACCAAGAAAACCAAUCCUCACUCCUCAUUUCCGCAACAGCAACGCUUCUUCCUUCGCCAAUCACCUUACAGACGUGCUACGUUCACAACAAAGAGGAUGCCGGAUGAAGUGACAGAAAUUGAAAUUUUUGUAUUGUAAUAUACAUCAGGAAGUGUUGUGUAAGAAAGUGUUAAAAAUAAAACCAUCAAAAGCCAUCUGCUUUUGUAUAAAGAUAAGUUAGGUUAAAUGAAAAUAUUAUUAUUAUCUAUCUUACGGUAUAUCAAAAAUAAU
Entelurus aequoreus (snake pipefish) is the source of this 593-nucleotide long non-coding RNA. RefSeq lists it as uncharacterized. The record is from RefSeq and is a predicted model, not a curated record. Lineage: Eukaryota; Metazoa; Chordata; Actinopteri; Syngnathiformes; Syngnathidae. The transcript is spliced from 3 exons.